This 63-nucleotide transfer RNA is filed under the name Paraleius leontonychus. RNAcentral's name for it is "tRNA-Leu(taa)". The record is from RNAcentral. Lineage: Eukaryota; Metazoa; Arthropoda; Arachnida; Sarcoptiformes; Scheloribatidae.
UCAGUUAUAGCAUAAUACUUAAUUAAUGCAGAAAGCUUAAGACUUUCAGAUUAAACUACUGAA